Molecule: transfer RNA, 69 nt
Filed under: Rattus norvegicus (Norway rat)
Lineage: Eukaryota; Metazoa; Chordata; Mammalia; Rodentia; Muridae
Rfam family: tRNA
About the family: Transfer RNA (tRNA) molecules are approximately 80 nucleotides in length. Their secondary structure includes four short double-helical elements and three loops (D, anti-codon, and T loops).
Source: Rfam by way of RNAcentral
GGAGAUUUACCUCAGUGGUAGAGGGCUUGCCUAGCAAGCACAAGGCUCUGGGUUCGGUCCUCAGCUCCA